UAAAAAAUUUUAUUGUGAGAUAGGGUCUCUGACUAAGUUUCUCAAGUUGACCUUGAACUUGCAUUCAUCUACUUCAGUUUCCUGAGUAGCUGGGAUUACAGGCAUAUAUCACUAUAUGUAGCUGCCAAUGUGUUUUCUUCUAAGUUUUAUAGUUUGUAUUUUGAGUUUGUGUGUGCGUGUGUGUGUGUAUAUAAUCUGAAUGUUGAACCCAGGCACUUUGACAAGCUAGGCAAGCACUCUCUCAUUGAGCUACAUCCCCAGUCCUGAGUUAAUUUCUAUCUGUGAGUAAGUAAAGGGUCCAACUUCAUUGUUUGUGUGUGGAAAUCCAAUGUUUCCAGCAUCAUCUAUUGAAAAGAUACAUCAGGUCUUUGAAAACACUGCCAGCUGCCUUUUCCCAGGAGACGCUAAUAGGACCAUUUACCUCCCCUACCUAGGGCCUCCAGAUGUUGAUCUUUAAUUUGGACCCACCCACUGCUUUACAUCCCUUUAUGGUACAACCCCACUCAAUACUUUUGGGGCCACAACCCUCCCUUACACUGCCCCAACCUGCCUGUCCCACCUUAUCCAUGAGAAGUCUGCAGAGAGGAAGCACCCCUAUUUCAGCCCCCUGCCCCCCUGCCCUACCCCCUGUACAUGUGUAACCAUGGGCCUUCCCUGAUGUACACAUCUGGACCUCCUGUUCCUCCUGCCCCUGCAGGCCAGCCUCUCCUCUUGAACUCUCUCCUAUGCACUUAGGCAACCUGUUCCCCUGUCUCAGGCCCUGGCUUACAUGCCUGCCCCUCUCCAUUUCCCCUUUCUCCAUCCCUCACUUCCCCUCUCCUUCCUCUUUACUUUCCUCUCUGCAUUGUAUUGGGAACCUUUCUUCUGUCCCUUUGUCUGUAUGUGUCUGCUACCUCCUCAGGUGCUCAGGACAGCAGAGCCUUUGUGGUGAGCAUUGAUGAGCAGUAGUUUCCAGGAAGAAGUGUCAUGUAUUGCUUCCUCUUCCACAGGGACCCAAUCUCCACUAUAACCUCACAGUAAGGUCCCAAGGUGGAUCAGUGCAAUCUUCUGCUGAUGGUUAUUGGGACCAUCAGCUCUUACUUUACUAUGAUAGUGACUCUAAAGAAAGCCCUAAACCCCAGGGGCCUUGGGCAGAAAAUCCCUUGGGAACUGAGAGAUGGAACACAGAGAUCCAGGAGUUGAAAGAGCACAUCAAGAAAGCAAAAUCAACCCUGGCAGAAAUCAUUGCCCAGCAGGAGCAGAAAGGAGGGUCUAAUUCCCUUCAGGAGAUUUGGGCUGCAAUAUUGAAGAGGACAACCACACCAGGGGCUUCUGGAUGAUCUACAGUGAUGGGGAGCCAUUCCUCUCCUAUCACCUAGAGAUGCACAGCUUGAGAAUAGAGCCAUCCUCAGCUCAGACCUUGGCUAUGGAAGUCAAGAAUUCCUGGGAUGCAGAUGACAUGCAAACAAGAAUAUCUGGACCCAAGUGGAGGGAGGGCUUUGUGGAAAACUUUGGACUUAUCAAGUCUCCUGGAAGGGCUCCUCCCUCUCCCCUGGAGCCUCUGCCCAGGGGAUCUUGUUGUCGCCAACAGUGAAUGUGACCUGUGGUGAAACCUCUGAGGACACCAUCAAUGUGACAUGUUGGGCUUGUGGCUUCUAUCUCCAGAAUAUCUCUGUGAUCUGGCUUCAAGAUGGGGAACUCCUGAGCCAGGACACGCAGGACUCUGUGGAUGUUUUUCCCUAUGGGAAUGGAACUGACCAGACCUGGAUGUCCACCAGGAUUCCCCAAGGAUAGGAGCAGAGAUUCAGCUGCUAUGUGGAACACAUUGGGAAGAACACCACUGUCCCUGU
Non-coding RNA from Ictidomys tridecemlineatus (thirteen-lined ground squirrel), 1829 nucleotides. Lineage: Eukaryota; Metazoa; Chordata; Mammalia; Rodentia; Sciuridae. The record is from RefSeq and is a predicted model, not a curated record.